GCCAGGUGUGGUGGUGCACGCCUGUAAUCCCAGCAGCUUGGGAGGCUGAGGCAGACGAACCUUGAGUUCAAAGCCAGCCUCAGU
RNAcentral lists this small RNA (84 nucleotides) under Marmota monax (woodchuck). The record is from RNAcentral. Lineage: Eukaryota; Metazoa; Chordata; Mammalia; Rodentia; Sciuridae.